RNAcentral lists this ribosomal RNA (363 nucleotides) under uncultured bacterium. RNAcentral's name for it is "bacterial SSU rRNA". It matches the Rfam family "Bacterial small subunit ribosomal RNA", at positions 438 to 793 of the family's 1533-position model. The record is from RNAcentral.
AAGGUGUAGGUUAACUAACCUCGCAUUAUUUGUACGUUACCUUACCACGAAGAAGACACCGGCGUAACUACCGUCGCCAGCAGCCGCGGUAAUACGGAGGGUGCGAGCGUUAAUCGGAAUUACUGGGCGUAAAGCGCAUGCAGGCGGCCUGUUAAGUCAGAUGUGAAAGCCCGGGGCUUAACCUCGGAAUUGCAUUUGAAACUGGCAGGCUAGAGUCUUGUAGAGGGGGGUAGGAAUUUCAGGUGUAGCGGUGAAAUGCGUAGAGAUCUGAAGGAAUACCAGUGGCGAAGGCGGCCCCCUGGACAAAGACUGACGCUCAGAUGCGAAAGCGUGGGGAGCAAACAGGAUUAGAUACCCUGGUAG